CACCUGUCUUUGGAGAAAAUUCUUGAUGUUUAGUUCCACAACUUGAAUAACUUCCUGGCCAUGUUUCAUUGGUGGCACCUGUACUCCUUCCAUUGUAGUAUUGUCCUCUCUGACGGUCUUCUCUAUACUACGUCUAUGUCUUCAAACCCAUCGAUAUAGUAUCUAUGUCAUGGUUUAAUAGGCGUUAAUAAUAAGUGCACAUGGUCAUUUUUGAACGGCCAUGUUGAAACGCCUGCAGU
Non-coding RNA from Paramuricea clavata, 239 nucleotides. Lineage: Eukaryota; Metazoa; Cnidaria; Anthozoa; Malacalcyonacea; Plexauridae. The record is from the annotation of a GenBank genome assembly.